RNAcentral lists this transfer RNA (74 nucleotides) under Caldilineaceae bacterium. RNAcentral's name for it is "tRNA-Gly". It matches the Rfam family "tRNA". From Rfam's summary of the family: Transfer RNA (tRNA) molecules are approximately 80 nucleotides in length. Their secondary structure includes four short double-helical elements and three loops (D, anti-codon, and T loops). Lineage: Bacteria; Bacillati; Chloroflexota; Caldilineae; Caldilineales; Caldilineaceae. The record is from RNAcentral.
GCCCUCGUAGCUCAACGGACUAGAGCGUAUGCCUCCCAAGCAUAAGGAUGUCGGUUCGAAUCCGACCGAGGGCA